CUAUAAAAAGCAAUCGGGUAUGUGGAGAUAGGUGGAGGCUUCGUUUGGAAAAAAAUUCAGAAAAAGAAGAGCAGAAAAAGAGAAAAGUCAGAACGUGAGAAAGAGAGAGGAGAAAAGUAAAAAAAGCAGAGGUGAUUUGACUCCUACUGUUCAUCAUCUUCCCCACUGUAGCUGCCCCAAUCGCCAGUUUCUCUUCACUCGCGCUGCGCUCACACCGCCGGUCUCCACCAGCCGCGACCCGCCUCCUCACGACGACCCGAAGCCCCACCGGAGACCACACCGCUGGUCUGCUGCCUCGCC
RNAcentral lists this long non-coding RNA (300 nucleotides) under Eucalyptus grandis. RNAcentral's name for it is "long non-coding RNA (EGRA_LNC005972)". The record is from RNAcentral. Lineage: Eukaryota; Viridiplantae; Streptophyta; Magnoliopsida; Myrtales; Myrtaceae.